This 915-nucleotide ribosomal RNA is filed under the name Streptomyces pilosus. RNAcentral's name for it is "bacterial SSU rRNA". It matches the Rfam family "Bacterial small subunit ribosomal RNA", at positions 66 to 999 of the family's 1533-position model. The record is from RNAcentral. Lineage: Bacteria; Bacillati; Actinomycetota; Actinomycetes; Kitasatosporales; Streptomycetaceae.
GUUCGAUGGUCCUUCAAGUGACCAGUAAUGGCGAACGGGUGAGUAACACGUGGGCAAUCUGCCCUGCACUCUGGACAAGCCCUGGAAACGGGGUCUAAUACCGGAUACUGACCCGCCUGGGCAUCCAGGCGGUUCGAAAGCUCCGGCGGUGCAGGAUGAGCCCGCGGCCUAUCACCUUGUUGGUGAGGUAACGGCUCACCAAGGCGACAACGGGUAGCCGGCCUGAGAGGGCGACCGGCCACACUGGGACUGAGACACGGCCCAAACUCCUACGGGAGGCAGCAGGGGGGAAUAUUGCACAAGGGGCGAAAGCCUGAUGCACCGACCCCGCGUGAGGGAUGACGGCCUUCGGGUUGUAAACCUCUUUCAGCAGGGAAGAAGCGAAAGUGACGGUCCCUGCAAAAAAAGCGCCGGCUAACUACGUGCCAGCAGCCGCGGUAAUACGUAGGGCGCGAGCGUUGUCCGGAAUUAUUGGGCGUAAAGAGCUCGUAGGCGGCUUGUCGCGUCGGUUGUGAAAGCCCGGGGCUUAACCCCGGGUCUGCAUUCGAUACGGGCAGGCUAGAGUUCGGUAGGGGAGAUCGGAAUUCCUGGUGUAGCGGUGAAAUGCGCAAAUAUCAGGAGGAACACCGGUGGCGAAGGCGGAUCUCUGGGCCGAUACUGACGCUGAGGAGCGAAAGCGUGGGGAGCGAACAGGAUUAGAUACCCUGGUAGUCCACGCCGUAAACGGUGGGCACUAGGUGUGGGCGACAUUCCACGUCGUCCGUGCCGCAGCUAACGCAUUAAGUGCCCCGCCUGGGGAGUACGGCCGCAAGGCUAAAACUCAAAGGAAUUGACGGGGGCCCGCACAACGGCGGACAUGUGGCUUAAUUCGACGCAACGCGAGACUUACCAAGGCUUGACAUACACCGGAACUCU